Molecule: long non-coding RNA, 266 nt
Filed under: Lathyrus oleraceus (garden pea)
Lineage: Eukaryota; Viridiplantae; Streptophyta; Magnoliopsida; Fabales; Fabaceae
Description: Pisum sativum (pea) long non-coding RNA (PSAT_LNC015022)
Source: RNAcentral
AAAUUGCAAGUUAUUAUAAUUUUUUUUAUUCUAGCUCAAUAUUAUAAAUAAAAAAUAUGUAAAAAAAAUAAGGGGUGGGUCUAAUCCAGAUAAGAGAAAUGAAAAAGAAAAUAAAAAGAAAAACAAAUAAAAAGAAAAAAAAAUUUAAAUAGUCAGAAAAACCAAAAAAAAAAUCCUAAAGGUUAGGAUUAAGACUCGACGCUCAAGCAAAUAUGAAAUUCGGAAAAUCAAAGUGAUCCGUAAAAAAAUCCUCCCUAAUGAAAUAA